UGGCUGCAGUAUGCUGUGUUUUCUGCAAACUGGCAACCCAGGCUGUUGAAAUAUUAUGGGAUAAACUGAAAAACCAUCGUCAGAUUAGAGUGGUCUGCCUCAUCUCAACUGCUUCCACAUUACUGCAGAAGUCACUUUUAAGGGAUUUCCUUGAGCCAUCAGAUGCAGGUGCUCUUCAAAGAUCAAAAGAGACCAAAACUGUGAUUUGAAUUCGUAGAACAUGAAUUUCCUCCACAUGUUGUUCUGGCUCACAGACCGGUCAUUUGACCUCUUUUCAUCAAACGAAUGUCGGGCUGAUUCCAGUUAACGUAACGGCCUGCCGUGAAGAUACAGCGGCUCAAAGGGGGUACGGCUUCGCUCUGCAGUCUGGGGCCUCCUAACAAGGUAUC
Sinocyclocheilus anshuiensis is the source of this 389-nucleotide long non-coding RNA. RefSeq lists it as uncharacterized. The transcript has 4 exons. The record is from RefSeq and is a predicted model, not a curated record. NCBI's taxonomy places the organism in Eukaryota, Metazoa, Chordata, Actinopteri, Cypriniformes, Cyprinidae.